AGCUGGAGGAACCUGGACUGCUCGCAGAGCUGAGGGCAGAGCUGGCCUCUCUGCGGAACCUGCUGGACUUGUUGCAAACGAGGCAUGAGCGAGACAUGGAGGAGGUCCGAUCGGAGAUGAUCAACGAGCGGGAGAAGAGACUGGCGCUGGAGGCCCAGGUCCAGAGGGUGAAGGAGACCAUGCUGUGACCACGACCCUGGAGCCAGACCCUGGCCGGGAGAGGAGCAACAACCCCCUCCUCUCCUCCGCCGCCCCCCUGUGCCCCCACCAUCAUCCCCAGUCUAGGAGAGGGGGCUCUGUCUCCUGGGACCACUUGGGGAGCAGAAGCGCAGUCUCCCAGAGGGAAAAGCAGUGUUGGGGGGAGGGGGAGAGUUCCUGGGGUCAAAGGGCAUGGACCCGGAGCCUAGGGCCCAGAAACCUCCACACUGCUCCCCAGAGCCUGCAGUUCAGGGGUCAACAAAUCCUGAAGGGUGGGAGAUUGCAGCUGAGGCCACCACCCUCACCUCUUCCUCCUUCCCUCCUCUUUCUCCCUUCUCUUCCUCGUCCUUCUUUUUUCCUUUCUCUUUCUCCUCCUCUUCCUCCUUCACCCCUCCUCCCCCCACCUUUCCGAGCUUCUGGCUCUGG
This is a long non-coding RNA of Tachyglossus aculeatus (Australian echidna), 624 nucleotides long. RefSeq lists it as uncharacterized. The record is from RefSeq and is a predicted model, not a curated record. The transcript has 3 exons. NCBI's taxonomy places the organism in Eukaryota, Metazoa, Chordata, Mammalia, Monotremata, Tachyglossidae.